RNAcentral lists this unclassified non-coding RNA (266 nucleotides) under Hevea brasiliensis (rubber tree). Lineage: Eukaryota; Viridiplantae; Streptophyta; Magnoliopsida; Malpighiales; Euphorbiaceae. The record is from RNAcentral.
AUCAGUCGAGAAGAGCUCUGUUGUUUUGUAAUUUUGACUUUUAGAUUGGAAACCAUUAUGGGUGUUUUAGCUUUAUUAUUUAUUAUUCAGUAGCAUUUUAUUUUUGUUGCUCGGUAGUUUCAGUGGAUAUUUGGUCUUGCAAAUCCUUUUGGGUACCUUUAGCUGAAGAUCAGUUAGCGUGUCUACGUUUCCCUGGCNNNNNNUUAUUUUGCUUUUCUAUUGAAUCUUUUGCAAAAUGAUGCAUAACAAUACACUUUAGAGGGGCC